UCCAGACUCCUACGGGAGGCAGCAGUGGGGGAUAUUGCACAAUGGGGGGAACCCUGAUGCAGCGACGCCGCGUGGGUGAAGGAGCGUUUCGGCGCGUAAAGCCCUAUCGGCAGGGAAGAAGGAGGACGGUACCUGACUAAGGAGCCCCGGCUAACUACGUGCCAGCAGCCGCGGUAAUACGUAGGGGGCAAGCGUUAUCCGGAUUUACUGGGUGUAAAGGGGGCGCAGACGGCAGCGCAAGCCAGGAGUGAAAGCCCGGGGCCCAACCCCGGGACUGCUCUUGGAACUGCGCGGCUGGAGUGCAGGAGGGGCAGGCGGAAUUCCUGGUGUAGCGGUGAAAUGCGUAGAUAUCAGGAGGAACACCGGUGGCGAAGGCGGCCUGCUGGACUGCGACUGACGUUGAGGCCCGAAAGCGUGGGGAGCAAACAGGAUUAGAUACCCUAGUA
Molecule: ribosomal RNA, 446 nt
Filed under: uncultured bacterium
Lineage: Bacteria
Description: partial 16S ribosomal RNA
Rfam family: Bacterial small subunit ribosomal RNA
Source: RNAcentral